AGAACGAACGCUGGCGGCAUGCCUAACACAUGCAAGUCGAACGCGUGUAGCAAUACACGAGUGGCGGACGGGUGAGUAACGCGUGGGAACCUGCCCUGGAGUGGGGGAUAACCGAUGGAAACGUCGGCUAAUACCGCAUACGUCCUGAGGGAGAAAGAUUUAUCGCUCUAGGAGGGGCCCGCGUCGGAUUAGCUAGUUGGUGAGGUAACGGCUCACCAAGGCGAUGAUCCGUAGCUGGUCUGAGAGGAUGAUCAGCCACACUGGGACUGAGACACGGCCCAGACUCCUACGGGAGGCAGCAGUGGGGAAUAUUGGACAAUGGGGGCAACCCUGAUCCAGCAAUGCCGCGUGAGUGAUGAAGGCCUUAGGGUUGUAAAGCUCUUUCGGCGGGACGAUGAUGGACGGUACCGCAGAAGAGCCCGGCUAACUCGCGCCAGCAGCCGC
This 444-nucleotide ribosomal RNA is filed under the name uncultured bacterium. RNAcentral describes it as "SSU rRNA". It matches the Rfam family "Bacterial small subunit ribosomal RNA", at positions 26 to 518 of the family's 1533-position model. The record is from RNAcentral.